UGGGGAAUUUUGGACAAUGGGCGAAAGCCUGAUCCAGCAAUGCCGCGUGUGUGAAGAAGGCCUUCGGGUUGUAAAGCACUUUUGUCCGGAAAGAAAUCCUUGGCUCUAAUACAGUCGGGGGAUGACGGUACCGGAAGAAUAAGCACCGGCUAACUACGUGCCAGCAGCCGCGGUAAUACGUAGGGUGCAAGCGUUAAUCGGAAUUACUGGGCGUAAAGCGUGCGCAGGCGGUUUGCUAAGACCGAUGUGAAAUCCCCGGGCUCAACCUGGGAACUGCAUUGGUGACUGGCAGGCUAGAGUAUGGCAGAGGGGGGUAGAAUUCCACGUGUAGCAGUGAAAUGCGUAGAGAUGUGGAGGAAUACCGAUGGCGAAGGCAGCCCCCUGGGCCAAUACUGACGCUCAUGCACGAAAGCGUGGGGAGCAAACAGGAUUAGAUACCCUGGUAGUCCACGCCCUAAACGAUGUCAACUAGUUGUUGGGGAUUCAUUUCCUUGGUAACGUAGCUAACGCGUGAAGUUGACCGCCUGGGGAGUACGGUCGCAAGAUUAAAACUCAAAGGAAUUGACGGGG
RNAcentral lists this ribosomal RNA (570 nucleotides) under uncultured bacterium. RNAcentral's name for it is "partial 16S ribosomal RNA". It matches the Rfam family "Bacterial small subunit ribosomal RNA", at positions 355 to 918 of the family's 1533-position model. The record is from RNAcentral.